UACGGGAGGCAGCAGUGGGGAAUAUUGCACAAUGGGCGAAAGCCUGAUGCAGCUAUGCCGCGUGUAUGAAGAAGGCCUUAGGGUUGUAAAGUACUUUCAUCGGGGAGGAAAAACAAAACUAAUAAUUUUAUUUCUUGACGUUACCCGAAAAAGAAGCACCGGCUAACUCCGUGCCAGCAGCCGCGGUAAUACGGAAGGUGCUAGCGUUAAUCAGAAUUACUGGGCGUAAAGAGCACGUAGGUGGUUUUUUUAAGUCAGAUGUGAAAUCCCUGGGCUUAACCUGGAACUGCAUUUUGAAACUGAAAUACUAGAGUAUCGUAGAGGGAGGUAGAAUUCUAGGUGUAGCGGUGAAAUGCGUAGAUAUCUGGAGGAAUACCUGUGGCGAAAGCGGCCUCCUAAACGAAUACUGACACUGAGGUGCGAAAGCGUGGGGAGCAAACAGGGAUUAGAUACC
Molecule: ribosomal RNA, 454 nt
Filed under: uncultured bacterium
Lineage: Bacteria
Description: bacterial SSU rRNA
Rfam family: Bacterial small subunit ribosomal RNA
Source: RNAcentral